AGCAGCCGCGGUAGUUCCAGCUCCAAUAGCGUAUAUUAAAGUUGUUGCAGUUAAAAAGCUCGUAGUUGAAUUUCGGGAUUAGUAGUCUGGUCGUGCCACUGGUAUGUACUGGCCUUACUGAUUUCUCCUUCUUGAAGAACUGUAAUGUUAUUAAUUUGGUGUUGCGGGGAAUCUGGACUGUUACUUUGAAAAAAUUAGAGUGUUUAAAGCAGGCUAACGCUUGAAUACAUUAGCAUGGAAUAAUGAAAUAGGACGUUCGAUCCUAUUUUGUUGGUUUCUAGGAUUGACGUAAUGAUUAAUAGGGAUAGUUGGGGCAUUAGUAUUCAAUUGUCAGAGGUGAAAUUCUUGGAUUUAUUGAAGACUAACUACUGCGAAAGCAUUUGCCAAGGAUGUUUUCAUUAAUCAAGAACGAAAGUUAGGGGAUCGAAGACGAUCAGAUACCGUCGUAGUCUUAACCAUAAACUAUGCCGAUUAGGGAUCGGAUGAUGUUAAUUUUAUAAUGACUCAUUCGGCGCCUUAA
Molecule: ribosomal RNA, 520 nt
Filed under: uncultured Glomus
Lineage: Eukaryota; Fungi; Glomeromycota; Glomeromycetes; Glomerales; Glomeraceae
Description: SSU rRNA
Rfam family: Eukaryotic small subunit ribosomal RNA
Source: RNAcentral